AAUCGGGGGUGCCAUAGGGCUGAGAAGGAACUAUUUCCUAACCCUUAUACCUGAUCUGGGUCAUGCCAGCGUAGGGAGUAUUA
Molecule: non-coding RNA, 83 nt
Filed under: Massilioclostridium coli
Lineage: Bacteria; Bacillati; Bacillota; Clostridia; Eubacteriales; Clostridiaceae
Description: TPP riboswitch (THI element)
Rfam family: TPP riboswitch aptamer (THI element)
About the family: Vitamin B(1) in its active form thiamin pyrophosphate (TPP) is an essential coenzyme that is synthesised by coupling of pyrimidine and thiazole moieties in bacteria. The previously detected thiamin-regulatory element, thi box was extended, resulting in a new, highly conserved RNA secondary structure, the THI element, which is widely distributed in eubacteria and also occurs in some archaea. Analysis of operon structures identified a large number of new candidate thiamin-regulated genes, mostly transporters, in various prokaryotic organisms.
Source: RNAcentral